This is a long non-coding RNA of Varroa destructor (honeybee mite), 625 nucleotides long. The record is from RefSeq and is a predicted model, not a curated record. Lineage: Eukaryota; Metazoa; Arthropoda; Arachnida; Mesostigmata; Varroidae.
AGCACCAGGGGAGAGAAUGGCGUCGUACUUAAGUGAAAUCGACUUCGACCGCAGUGUCGACUGAGGUGAUAAUAGUACUUGAAAUGAGCAUCAGGAGGAUUCGGUACUAUAAAACUCGCCGGAAAAACCAAUGCCGCCCGCCAUUUUGAGUUCUUUACGUGAGUCAUGAACUUUCGCCACGGCGUUCGGAAGCAUGUAAUUGUUACUCGGAUGACAGCGUCAAACCUCAUAGCCAUGCCUUCAAUUCAGGGCCUAGGAGCGGCUGAGCCUAUUGUGAAUUGAAGGGCAAUUCGAGAAUGGCGACUAUGAGGGUGUACAAUGGAUGAUAACCGCACUUCCGAUGCGUGAUUUAAAGGAAAAGGCAGCGAACAAAUUAUUAAAUGGGGGAAGCAAGAGAUCUUGACCCGCCUUACUGUUUCAGUGUUUUUGCAAAUGACGUUUAAAGACGAAGGUCGACUCAGCCAUCUAUGCCAAGGAUUCGCUAAGCUCUGCCUUGUUAUGCUUCAUUGUAUUGCCUAUGGCCACGAAUUGGCAAGUAAAAGGCAGAUAGGUACAUUACAUCGAGCAAAAAAGAACCCCCGUUCCCCACUAUUUACCCGUCUAUGCGUAAUUAUUAACACCUGUG